ACCAAGAAAACCGAAAUUCCGUCUAUUUUCCUCUCUCUAUCUGACACCUUUGAUCAUCUGAGCUCUGACUCACCGAUUCGACUCGGCCAUGGCGGUUCAGUUCAAAUUCCGAAGCUCUGCGAAAUUCGAUUCCGUCGACCUCGAAGGUCGAGCCUCAAUCCCCGUUCGUGAUCUCAAAGCCAAAAUCAUCCACCACAACAACCUCAACAUCUGUCAAGAUUCCGAUCUCGUCUUCUCCGACGCCAUAACCGGUCAAGAGUACACUAACGAGAAUAUUCAAAUUCCGUGCGGCUCGUCCGUGAUUAUCAAGAGAGUUCCUGCAGGAUCGGCACAUGUGGAUAUGCCUCACUUCAACUGCAAGGAAGCUGGGAAUCCGCCGAAUGUUGAGACAGUCGACUUUGAUGACUUUGGGGUUGACGUGUAUCCCGUUCCCGAGGCAACCUUCGUCUGUUCUGGUUUGGAUGCAGACAAGGAUGCCCGCAGUCGGGGAUAUGAACCAAAUACUGGCAUCACAAGAUGUUUGGAGCCAGCAGUAGGAGGAUGUCAGAAACUUGAAGCAAGUGGGAUUAGUGAUGCUAUUCCAGGAAGUCAUUCGCAUGGUGGAGUUGAACAAAUCUUACCACAGACAAACUCAAAGCCUGAGGUUCAAGAAGACUUUAAUUUGGAAAAGAUGGGUUGUGAUCCCGUAGAUACAAAACAUGCUGAUAUGCCAUCAGAGAUGAAAUGCUCUCUAUGCAACUCGUUUUUCAAGGAGGCUGUGAUGAUACCCUGCUGCCAGCACAGUUUUUGUGAGAAAUGUAUACAUCAAAUGCUGCUUGAGAAGGCAAGAUGUCCCAAGUGUUUUUCAACCAAGUGCAGAAUUGAAGAUCUGCUACCAAAUAUAUCUCUUAGGCAAGCAAUGGACCAUUUCCAAGAGUCUCAAAAUUUAAUCACUGUUCCAGAUAAUGCUUUUUGCCAAUACGCUCCAGAUGGAGAAUCGGGAAUUCAGGCAAAAGAUGUCUCUUGUGGUGGUAGUAUUUUUCAAAGGGAGUCAGAGUUGCCUCACUCUCCUGAAACAGGGAUGGGAUCUAAUAAUUGCUUAGCAGAAUCUGCUUGUCACUCACCAUUCAAAAAUGAUGCGCCGUAUCAUUUUGGUGCAAGAAACGUGCAAAAAAUUCCCAAGUUUUCGCACAAGAACAAUCAAAUCGAUGGAGAUGGAUACGGUUAUACUCGUGUGGCUCCAUAUGGCUCGGCAGCUUUUGAUGAUUUCCAAGGGGAAAGCAAGCCUAUACCUAAGGAAGCUGAACCUGUAAUCAAGAAAAAGAGGCCACCUUGGGUUUAUACUGCAGGUGGUGGAAAAAGUUUUUUGGAGGGUGGGAGAAAUAGAAAGGGGGAUCGUGCCUGUUAUAUGUGUGGCUCCCCAGAUCAUUUAAUAAGAGUGUGUCCAGUUGCUACCAGUCCACGCCCUAUGCUUCAUUCAGGAAAUGCAGUCUUUCCAGGAGCUAUGCCAGGUUAUGUGCCACCAUACUGGGAUGGGGCUCUGUUGCCUCAUACCCCGCCCUUUAGAAAUCUAUACGGAAAUCAUGGGAUGACAGCUUUUGACACGUUGAUCCCUCACACUCCUUUUUCUGUUCAUCCAUACAUGCACACGCCAUCCAUGUAUAGAUCGAUUCCAGGCUUUGGUGGAUAUAUGGGAAUGGGAGGUGUAGCACCUCUUCCUGAAACUGGUGAAGACUGUUAUAUAAGUCGUUCAGAAUUUCUGGAUCUUGAAGGUCAAGAAAAGAGGAGAAAACUUUCAAGGGAGAAUUUUAGGAGAGAUCAAUCUUGUGAUGACGAUGAAGACCGGGGGAGGCAUCAGUAUAAUGGGAGUGCAAGAUUGCAAGAGCAUAAAUCUUUUGUAAACAGGGAAAAGAGUGUAAGCUACUCCAGUGACGGCUCUACUAAAAGGUCUCAGAGACAAGAUCGGCAUCGUAAUCAGAUAAAUGAUGACAACAUUCAUUUGGUUGGUCAUCGGAAGAGUUCUCAUUUGGUGGUUGGUCAUCAGGAUGGGAAACUGUAUAAUCCCACGGAGAAAUCAAGUUCAGAAUUAGAUGAUAUGCCAAGUAGCUCCAGUUGGCACAGUGAAGAGAAACACAAACAUUAUCAUAGAAGCUCCAGAAAGCAAAAUGAAAGAAGAGAGCAGUGUGACGGUGAUAAACACAAACACUAUGAUAGAAGCUCCAGAUAUCACAAGGAAAGAAGAGAGCAGUGUGGUAGUGAUUCUAGUCGGAGUCAUCAUCAAAAUAUCAUUGAGAAAGAUGAUAAGAGAAAGGGAAUUCAGCAUAAUAACAAAAGGCACAAACAUCACAGUAACUCGGGAUCUGAUUUAGAACACAGUGUUUCCAGUGAUAAGAAGCUACAGAAAGGGAGCAGUCACAAUUUUAGAAAAUCUGAGCACAAUGCAAAGUCUAGUGUUGAUGAGCGCAGUCAUGACAGAUGGAAAAUGGUUAGUGGGUCAGAUGAAGAUAGUGGAGAAGAUUAUCGGUACUGUAAACGGAAAAGGGUAAAAUGAUAGAAUCAGCAAGGCUGAUUUGUGAGAUCUAAUUGACUGGUCGGCUAUUGGAAGUAUUUUUCUAUUCAUAUCUGCUAACAUCUUCACUUUUUUAGUUUGAUCCUAGUGAGGAGGGCUAGCAAAACAAAUUUUUGAAACAGAGCCGCAGUGGUUAAUAUAGUCAUAUGGCUGAAUUCUGUUCUCUCCUCCCGAAUCUUACUCUUUGCCAAGACAUAUUGAAGCUGGAGAAGGUAGAUACAUGUCAUUCUUCUUCUAAAACACCAAACUGGUGCGAUAAUUUUGGUUGCUGCACCAAUACAAUGCAGCCCAGCACUACAAUUUUCACCAAGUGGCUGUUUCAAGAAGCUAGAUAGAAAAUAUGCAAGUUGC
This is an RNA transcript of Rosa rugosa (rugosa rose), 2899 nucleotides long. It is a transcript of the gene named E3 ubiquitin ligase PQT3-like, with no coding region annotated. Lineage: Eukaryota; Viridiplantae; Streptophyta; Magnoliopsida; Rosales; Rosaceae. The transcript has 17 exons. The record is from RefSeq and is a predicted model, not a curated record.